GGAAAGAUUCAUCGGUAUGGGAUGGGGUCGCGUCCUAUCAGCUUGAUGGCGGGGUAACGGCCCACCAUGGCUUCGACGGGUAGCCGGCCUGAGAGGGCGACCGGCCACAUUGGGACUGAGAUACGGCCCAGACUCCUACGGGAGGCAGCAGUGGGGAAUAUUGCACAAUGGGCGCAAGCCUGAUGCAGCGACGCCGCGUGCGGGAUGACGGCCUUCGGGUUGUAAACCGCUUUUGACUGGGAGCAAGCCCUUCGGGGUGAGUGUACCUUUCGAAUAAGCACCGGCUAACUACGUGCCAGCAGCCGCGGUAAUACGUAGGGUGCAAGCGUUAUCCGGAAUUAUUGGGCGUAAAGGGCUCGUAGGCGGUUCGUCGCGUCCGGUGUGAAAGUCCAUCGCUUAACGGUGGAUCCGCGCCGGGUACGGGCGGGCUUGAGUGCGGUAGGGGAGACUGGAAUUCCCGGUGUAACGGUGGAAUGUGUAGAUAUCGGGA
RNAcentral lists this ribosomal RNA (490 nucleotides) under Bifidobacterium adolescentis JCM 15918. Its description in RNAcentral is "bacterial SSU rRNA". It matches the Rfam family "Bacterial small subunit ribosomal RNA", at positions 201 to 702 of the family's 1533-position model. Lineage: Bacteria; Bacillati; Actinomycetota; Actinomycetes; Bifidobacteriales; Bifidobacteriaceae. The record is from RNAcentral.